Molecule: long non-coding RNA, 5313 nt
Organism: Gavialis gangeticus (Gharial)
Lineage: Eukaryota; Metazoa; Chordata; Crocodylia; Gavialidae
Exons: 2
Source: RefSeq, a predicted model, not a curated record
AUGAUGAAGGGGUAAUACAGAACAAUAGCAGAUGAGCAUGCAAUGAAAGAGCCCAUUCACCUGCAUACAUACAAGGGGGCUGCAUAGAGAUUGCACAGGCAGCUGGAAUUCUAAUAUUUUCCAGUUUUCCACAAUUGACUUUUGGACUGUGCAUCUAGCACACACAUUUCACAGUCUCAGAUACUGCUUUAUCUGCAAAUCACGAUAUUAGCCAAAUUAGGACAGGCGUUCACAGAAGACAGCAAAAAGCAAGUCCUUGGUACACAAGAUGAGCCUCCCACCAAUAUUUUGCCACAUUGGCAUGUCCUCCUCUCUGCCUCUAUUCCUAUAGGACACUGAAUUUUUUUGAGCUUCUGGGGGGCUGUGCACUAAAGACUCUGUUGUGGUAUGUUAAUUAAUUCUUUGUGGCUGUGGCAUGCAGGAGAAACUGCAGUAGCUGUUCCCCGGGAUCCCUUCAGACCAAAUGUCUCCUAGGUGGUUGUCUGCAACCUGCUUCCUUCUCAUCCUGUGUUCUGGUGGGACCCAUUACCUCUAUCUUACAGCUGGGGAAGUGAAGAAUAAAGAAAUUAAGGUCGCAUGCAUCCAUGCAUUUUGAAUUCCCAAUCUGAGGCACCCAAGACCUGAUUUUUUGGAGAACUAAGCAUUAUACAGCACUUUAUUUAUUCCAGCAUAAUUUAAAUUGCUUUCAGUUGUAGUUGAGAGAGCUCAGAACUCCUACAAAUCAGAUGGCAUGUUAUCAAAUCAAGAAUCCAGAAAAUAAGGAACACAGAGUUUGUGAUCACCUGUGAAAAGUUUGGCUCAAGUGAUUUGCUGAGCAUCUCCUGAGACCCCUGUAACUACCUUGUUUUUAACACAUUGCCUGAGCAAAGGAGAUAGCAGUAGUGUUUCGCACAAUGCACGAGUGGGGACUGGAGUGGAUGGGCAGCCCCAUGUUCUUGUCAAGAGUCCUAAUCUGCUUCCUGGUGUUAGAAAUCAUGGCCUAUCCCUGAAAUAGCAUCCCCCAAAACCACAUUAUUAAAGAGUUAACCACAUUUCACCUUGUCUUUUUCAGAUCAAAAGUUCCAGCCCACAAAAAUAUUUGGCCUUGGGGUUUUGCCUUUUUUCCACACAGCAAGCACAAUUCCCGCCCACCUUGGUAUUAAGCACAUAUUAAAGGCAACCAUUGAUUCUCUGGACUAUGGUGCCCGUACAAGAGGUCCAGUCAGGUGCUUCAUGAAUCCACCUGUGGCUGACACUCUGCAGCCCCAGAAACUGGCACAAGAAGCAGGGGGGAGUUUGUGCCCAUUUUAGCCUGAGCAACUGCUGCCAAGCAGCUCAGGGCUGGGUGAUCCACACUCAGGCUUUAUCCACCUCCGACAUUAGCAUCCACCACAUGCUGUUUCCUAUAGGAAGCCCCCAUCGCUUGCCCACCAUGUUUUGUUCUUAAAAGAUGUGGGAGGCUCCUGUAUGACCUGGACUUAUUGUGGGGUGCUUUAGACGGGCUUUUUGGGGGCUCCACAUCCCCUACAUCUCUUCCAAGCACCGACCUGUUGGUCUCACAUUGUGUGGUAGAUAGUCUGGGCUCCUCUGUGGUUCAAUGUACCAUCUCACCCUGGUUGAGCUGACAGUCCACUAGGGACUGGGCGAGGUUAUUUUGUGCUCACACCCUGCCUAGGAGACUUAAGCAAUCUGGAGGAGUGAUCUUACUCUCUGACACUGCCCUGUUGUCUGGACAGGCCUUCUGAGCUGACCUUACUAUGUGCCUGUGCCUCAGAGUCCCCGAGAGCUCCUGGCUUCUUGGCACUGGGCAAGGCGGCUACAAUACAUGGCGCUGACUUAAAGCCCCAAGAGAAAUUAACAACAUUUAAACAUAAAGCAGGGAGGGAAUGUGCUUCCUCCCACUCACACAUCCCCAUCAGGUGCUGGGCUGUCAGAUCCUCAGCCCUCCUCUCUUCCUUGUUCCAAGAGGUUGUCUCUCGGAGAGGCUGUGCUUCUCCCUGGGACGUCCCUGGAGUCUCCAGAACAUAGUAUGGCCAGACAUGACAGCUGGCAGCAGACAGAAAACAGCAGCGGCAGGACAGCUGUCUCUUUUUUCCACACCAGCUUUUGAAGGCCCUUCUCAGCGCCAGUGGAUGAUGUCAACCCCCUGUGCCGCUCCAGCCACACAGAGCGAGCUGAUAAAGCAUGCAGGCGGCGUUGCCCACUGUUCCAUGUUUUCUGCUACCAUGCCUGGGUGAGGCAAUGCAGCAUGGAUGCUACCAAUUGUAGAAAUAUGCAGCAACCUGACCCUACUUUGACCCUAGUACUAGAGAUUCUGUGCUCUUUAUCCAUGGCAAUGUACCAUGUUUUCCUCCCUUUAGGGCAAAAUUAUGAGCGAAUGCAACUCAGUUUUCUAUUUAAAUGGAGAAAUAUUCCAUAACACUUACCUGGGUUGGAUGCAUGCGUCUGAAGUCAUUACUAUCACAAACAAAAAACAGUCAUAGUGGGAUCCCAGUGAUAGAUCAACAUGCAGAGCUUGAGUUCAAAGCCCAGCUCUUCCUGGUGUCCCAGGUGCUUUGUGCCACUCUCCCAAAGUGGAACCACAGACUUUAGCUAGCCACCAGAAGAUGCAAUUCCUGAGUGCACAGAGCUCUUACACCACUUUCUAUAUCUGUAGCAAUGCCAGAGGCACAGAGCAGAACCUCUGUUGCACCAAUCCCCAAUGACCACUGAGUAUUUCCCUUCCUGAGCUGCUACCAGUGCUCCUUCACUGCAGCUAUGAAGCAGAGCCAUCCUCUUUUUUUUUUCUUUUAUAUUUGCUUCUUCAUGGUCUGCCAUCUCUUUCCUUGUUAUUAUGAAGGGGUAGGGGUGUUCUCAUUUCUUCUGGAAAGUUUCCAGUUGGUCAAGGAACACUUAACACAUUUUAGCCACAAUAGCUUGAAUUCAAGGUUGCACAGCAUUAGCCUAGUCUGUCUGCGCUCAGAGCAGCAGAGCUGUAUCCUAGGUUUCACCCUUGCAUCAAUUCAGAAAAUAUAAAGAUGUGAGAUUCAAUCAAUGAGGUUAAGGAGACGGGUGGUGGAAUAUAACAGCAGAUAAAUGUUUUCAACACAACUACCCUUUAAAAAGUGCUGAAAAAAAUCAAGGCUUUAUUUGAAUAAAUGUUACACAACAUUCUUUAACACUUACUUCUUGAGCAAACCUUAAAGGGGAAUCAUAUUUUUUUCCUCAUUCAAGUCUACAAAAUGAAGGAGGCAUAGUGACCAUUCAAUAUACAGACAAAAAGGUAGCAUGGAGCAAAGCUUAAAUAUUAAGCAACUAAAGCCAAAAAGUAAAAAGCAAUACAUUACUGUAAUUCUGUAUCAUUAAAAUAUCCCUGACAAUUUCAUUUCAAAAUGAAAAUCUGGUUUCAAACAAAAUGACUACAAUACUUCCCGUGAAAAUAAACUCAUUUUUCAUGAGCAAAUAUGGUUAGCUACCUAGUCUAUUUUUAUGCUAUUUGCUUAGUUUACCCAUAUUUUCAAAUGCAGAGACCUGCACCUCUCUCUCUCAAACAUUUUGUACAUUUUAAGUAGUGUGUGCCAGCGCUCUUGAAGAUGAGGGAAUAAGAACACUGGUUAAGAAUCAGAUAGGCAGGCACUACUGGCUUUCAUAAAUAACAUCAAUCAUUUUUCAAUCCCAACAUGCAAUAACCCUGCCAUUACAGUCCUGGGCCUUUUUCCUGAGCAGAAAUUGUGCCAUGUUGUCUUUUUAAAAAAAAGAAAAAGAAGAUAAAAGUGAUUCCUUUAAUAGGGAUGAGAUCCUCAUUCAUCUGUAAUACAAUCAUCUUUUGCUCUCCAGAGGUAAAAGGAUAGCACAGUAGCUCACUGUACCACCUUUCCCUCUCUCUCUCUCAAAGAGCAAGUUGCCUUAAUUUAUAAUAACUCUGAGUCAAAUUUCAGGCUGUGGUGCAGGUCUAGACUGCUGACCCUCUGUUUUGACUACAUCAGAAAGGCAGAAUACUGCAGAGCAAUAAUGACUAAUCUCAAUUUAAAAAUUAAUCUGCAGUUUAUUAUGAGAAGUGGCACAACUUGAAAAGUGGUACACAGCUUGAACAUGGAACUAACAUAGUUUUUUUGAAAAAUAUUAGAUGAUAUGGUUUCAGUUUGUUUUUAAUAAAUAAAUUUAGCAGUCACUGCUAAUAGAACUAGAAAAAGUUCUAAACCUCUAAUAUAAAACUGUUUUAGGUCAUAUGUACCACCAAUAUAGUAUUUAUGGAUCUGGAUUAUUAUGCCCCCAUUCCAUUAAAAAUAUGAAUUUGUUGUAUUGCCAAAUACUAAAGCCAAGAGAAAUUAUAUACAAUUAUGGGUACUGUGUUUAACUAAUGUAUUUAAUUCAUGCCCUUUUCAUGGAGGUUGUAAAAUCCUCUUUGUGCUAGAUGACAUACCUAUCAAGAAAGGUGCUCUCUCUUCAAAUCCCCUGGACAAAGAUAUUUUACAUUCCCCAGUGAGAUCAAAACACAAAGUAGGAAGAGAGGUUAGUACAAGACUUUGCUUUUCCAUGGAAACAGGAACUUGUACUUUAUUAGGUCUUAAUAUUAUGUGUGCAUUUUCUCUUCUCCAAAACAAAUAUGUACUUUCCAACUUUGGUAUCCCGUGAACCCCUCACUAACAUUAAGAAGAAUUUUAAGCGCUAUUCUGUCAAGAAAAUGUGCACACAAAUCAGUAGCAAAUAAAUUAUCUGGCAAGCCAAUAUUUCAGCAUUGUUCUCAGCACUCAGUAGCUUCAGCUGACAUAAUUGUUACCAAACAACUUUUGCAAAAAGGAUAAAGGAUUACGUGUUCUCAUUUCAACAUGAGGAUAUUCAAAGUAGUCAAUGCUAUGCAGAUCAACUACCACAAGAAAUCCUAAUGGAAACCCUUGGUAUACCAGCUACCUGUAUGAGAAAAAUUUUGUGCAGGAAGAUGAAAUAAACUCAUUACUUGGCAAAUGACUGGCCUCUCAUCUAAGCAGUAUCCAUUCUUGGCUCUGUAUUGUUACACUAUCAUAAGCAAAUCUAACUGACUAUAUACUAUCAGUGAUGUAGCCCUUUCAUGAUAUAUUUCCAACAAUUGUCAAUUCCCAAAAUGUUAUAUUAGCAUAAAGAAACUACAACCAUAUUCACAGGGAAGCAAUUUUCCCAUAAUUUAGAGAUACAUGGAAGUUGCUGUUGUCAUCCUGCCCACCAUCUCUAUAGGAAACACUGGUCUCAUAGCAGGACUGUUCAUAUUUUACAAUACAGCUGGUUUUGGACAUGCUUUUAAUCACAGGCCACAGCUCUGCUAACACCUGCACUAAUACUAACUAAGCCUUGUAGAAUGGAAAAUGCAACGCGAAAGUU